Molecule: ribosomal RNA, 531 nt
Filed under: uncultured bacterium
Lineage: Bacteria
Description: bacterial SSU rRNA
Rfam family: Bacterial small subunit ribosomal RNA
Source: RNAcentral
AGAGUUUGAUCCUGGCUCAGGAUGAACGCUAGCGACAGGCCUAACACAUGCAAGUCGAGGGGCAUCGGGGCGAGGAGCAAUCCUUGCCGCCGGCGACCGGCGCACGGGUGAGUAACGCGUAUGCGACCUGCCCGUUGCAGGGGGAUAAUCGGGAGAAAUCCCGUCUAAUACCGCGUAAUGCCGCGGGGCUGCAUGGCCCUGCGGCCAAAGGAAGCGAUUCCGGCAACGGAUGGGCAUGCGUGACAUUAGCUAGUUGGCGGGGCAACGGCCCACCAAGGCGACGAUGUCUAGGGGUUCUGAGAGGAAGGUCCCCCACACUGGUACUGAGACACGGACCAGACUCCUACGGGAGGCAGCAGUGAGGAAUAUUGGUCAAUGGGCGCGAGCCUGAACCAGCCAAGUCGCGUGAGGGAUGACGGCCCUACGGGUUGUAAACCUCUUUUGUCGGGGAGCAAAUUCCGCCACGCGUGGCGGGGUCGAGAGUACCCGAAGAAAAAACAUCGGCUAACUCCGUGCCAGCAGCCGCGGUAA